Molecule: transfer RNA, 86 nt
Filed under: Eubacteriales bacterium
Lineage: Bacteria; Bacillati; Bacillota; Clostridia; Eubacteriales
Description: tRNA-Leu
Rfam family: tRNA
About the family: Transfer RNA (tRNA) molecules are approximately 80 nucleotides in length. Their secondary structure includes four short double-helical elements and three loops (D, anti-codon, and T loops).
Source: RNAcentral
GUCCCUGUAGCAGAAUGGCAUAUGCGGCGGGCUGAGGCCCCGCGCCGGACUAACAUCCGUUGUGAGUUCAAGUCUCACCAGGGAUA